RNAcentral lists this ribosomal RNA (499 nucleotides) under uncultured bacterium. RNAcentral's name for it is "partial 16S ribosomal RNA". It matches the Rfam family "Bacterial small subunit ribosomal RNA", at positions 28 to 507 of the family's 1533-position model. The record is from RNAcentral.
GACGAACGCUGGCGGCGUGCCCAAUACAUGCAAGUCGAGCGAAGUUUUUCUGGUGCUUGCACUAGAAAAACUUAGCGGCGAACGGGUGAGUAACACCUAAAGAACCUGCCUCAUAGACUGGGACAACUAUUGGAAACGAUAGCUAAUACCGGAUAACAGUAUUUCUCGCAUGAGAGAUAUUUAAAAGUUGGUUAUGCCAACACUAUGAGAUGGCUUUGCGGUGCAUUAGCUAGUUGGUGGGGUAAAGGCCCACCAAGGCGACGAUGCAUAGCCGACCUGAGAGGGUGAUCGGCCACACUGGGACUGAGACACGGCCCAGACUCCUACGGGAGGCAGCAGUAGGGAAUCUUCCGCAAUGGGCGAAAGCCUGACGGAGCAACGCCGCGUGAGUGAAGAAGGAUUUCGGUUCGUAAAGCUCUGUUGUUAGGGAAGAAUGGAUAUGUAGUAACUAUACAUGUAAGAGACGGUACCUAACCAGAAAGCCACGGCUAACUACGUG